This 465-nucleotide ribosomal RNA is filed under the name Vreelandella stevensii. RNAcentral describes it as "partial 16S ribosomal RNA". It matches the Rfam family "Bacterial small subunit ribosomal RNA", at positions 338 to 795 of the family's 1533-position model. Lineage: Bacteria; Pseudomonadati; Pseudomonadota; Gammaproteobacteria; Oceanospirillales; Halomonadaceae. The record is from RNAcentral.
CCUACGAGGAGCAGCAGUGGGGAAUAUUGGACAAUGGGCGAAAGCCUGAUCCAGCCAUGCCGCGUGUGUGAAGAAGGCCUUCGGGUUGUAAAGCACUUUCAGUGGGGAAGAAAGCCUUGGGGCUAAUACCCUCGAGGAAGGACAUCACCCACAGAAGAAGCACCGGCUAACUCCGUGCCAGCAGCCGCGGUAAUACGGAGGGUGCGAGCGUUAAUCGGAAUUACUGGGCGUAAAGCGCGCGUAGGCGGUCUGAUAAGCCGGUUGUGAAAGCCCCGGGCUCAACCUGGGAACGGCAUCCGGAACUGUCAGGCUAGAGUGCAGGAGAGGAAGGUAGAAUUCCCGGUGUAGCGGUGAAAUGCGUAGAGAUCGGGAGGAAUACCAGUGGCGAAGGCGGCCUUCUGGACUGACACUGACGCUGAGGUGCGAAAGCGUGGGUAGCAAACAGGAUUAGAUACCCCGGUAGUC